RNA transcript from Erigeron canadensis, 2248 nucleotides. It is a transcript of the gene named cysteine-rich receptor-like protein kinase 2, with no coding region annotated. The transcript has 9 exons. The record is from RefSeq and is a predicted model, not a curated record. Lineage: Eukaryota; Viridiplantae; Streptophyta; Magnoliopsida; Asterales; Asteraceae.
CAAAGCAAUACAAAAAACAAUGAAGCAAGUUGAAAAUCUUCAGUUGUCACGGCUAAUUACAACCACCCUGUUCGUAAUUGUGCUAAUAAUCUUAAUGAUAGGAAUAGCACUGUCACAGCCUAAUGAUAGGAAUAGCACUGUGAUGACACUUCAAUGUAGUAGAUAUUACUAUACGAAUGAAGGGUCUUAUUUGACCAACCUUAAUGCCACCCUUACUGAACUGCGUUUGCAGUUGACCAGAAGCGGCGGUAACGCUGAAGCACAUAUGCCAAAUGGUGAUGCCGUGUGGGGCGUUGCUUGGUGCAGGGGAUAUCUCUCUGUUCCAGAAUGUCUGGAUUGUUUUGACUAUGGUGUUGGUCAGUUAAAAACAUGUGGGUCUGGCUAUGUUGGACAUGUUAUUUACAACGACUGCGAUGUCAGGUAUGAAAGUUAUAACUUUAUCCCCGAGGCUAGUGAUCGGGCUAGUGUGGCAUUAUGUGACAGUGUAACAUCUCUCCAGCCAACAGAGUUUCAAACAGCAGCCGAAAAGUUAUUACUAGACCUGCAAAUUGUUGCACCUAGAACGCCAAAUUUCUAUGCAGUUUCUACCAGGCAAAUAGCUGAUGGUAAUGCAACUGUGUAUGCAAUUGCCCAAUGUAAUCUAAACAUAAGCCAGAGUGUGUGUUUAGAAUGCUUAAAGUCGAUAUCUAGUGCUCUACAUGAUUGUCUUCCUACUAUUUCUGGCCGAGGUAUGGACAAUGGAUGCUUCAUGAGAUAUUCCAGCACUCCAUUCUUUCGACAAAACCAGACAAUGGAUCUUACAUCUCUUCUUUGGAAUGGACAUUCAACUAAGAAGAGAUCCAUAAUUUUGGGAGUCAUUGGAGGUUUAAGCUUUUUGUUGCUUGUGAUUGCAUUUUUGCUAUGGCGUUGCAGGUUAAGAAUGACAGGCAGAAGCCAACAAGAUGUGCCAGAUCUAGAUCUAAAGGGGGCAGCAGUUAAUUACAAUUACAAACAUCUGCAGACGGCUACCAAUAACUUCAGCAAAGAGAAGAUUAUAGGGAAAGGUGGUUAUGGGGAGGUAUUCAAGGCAACUCUUGAUGAUAAGAAAGUUGUGGCAGUGAAGAAGCUUAAAGUUGGAUUUGCUGGUGCAAAAGUAGAAUUCGAAAAUGAAAUCUUACUUAUAAGUAACAUUCAUCAUCGAAAUCUUCUCCGUCUAUUAGGAUGGUCCAGUGGAGAAUCUAAUCUUUUACUUGUCCUGGAAUAUAUGCCAAAUGGAAGUCUCGACUCGUUCUUAUGGGGUGCCAAAAGGGGUACCCUGAACUGGAAACAACGAUAUGACAUUAUCUUGGGGAUAGCUAAGGGUCUCGCUCAUCUACAUGAAGAAUUACAUGUGAAGAUCAUUCAUAGAGAUAUAAAGUCAAGCAACAUUCUCCUUGAUGAUGAUUUUCAACCCAAAAUUGCAGAUUUUGGGAUGGCAAGGUUUCAAGCGGCUGAUCAAAGUCAUGUUACCACAAAGUUUGCUGGGACAUUGGGCUACACAGCGCCAGAAUAUGCACUUUAUGGCGCUUUAUCAGAUAAAGUCGACACUUUCAGCUUUGGUGUUGUAAUUCUUGAAAUCAUUAGUGGUCGAAGGUGUACUGAUUCGAAAUUUAAUGGGCUGUCCACCGAUGGCCUUUUAGAACAUGCAUGGGACUUGUACGAGUAUAAAGAAUAUAUGAACUUGGUUGAUGAGACAAUGGAUUCAAAUCAAUAUGAAGAUAAACAGGUAAUGGAGAUCACUGAGAUUGCUUUGCUAUGCACUCAGGUAACGGUUUCUAAGAGACCGAACAUGUCUGAAGUAGUUUGGAUGCUUUCAAAUCACCCAUCAUUUGCGGAAAGACAGCUAACAAGGCCUAACUUCAUUGAUCACAAUAGGAAGAUUCAUAAAGGAUCUUCAUAGAUACAACUUAAGCCAGUAAAAUCAACAACUGGAACUAUACAUUGUGAAAAGGGAGAUAAUAUUGUCAGAACAAAAAUUAGCAAUCUACAACAAUACAUCUAUACAUUUGUAUACAAGAAAUCGCUUGCAAGCUAGGAGUUAAGGCCUAUAGUUGGACUUAAUGGAUAUCUGGUUGCAUUGUAGAUCUUUAGACCCGGGCACGAUGCCUCAGUUUGUUUUACAUUGUAUGGGAUUCUUACGGUUGUAUCUUGACUUGUGUUUGUCAACUUUUAGCUUUAUAUGGACAUCAUGUAUUUUCUCUGAGUAAUACCUAUUUGCAAGUUUGUUUUA